GAGGGGCAGCAUCAUCAAAGCUUGCUUUGAUGGAUGGCGACCGGCGCACGGGUGAGUAACACGUAUCCAACCUGCCGACAACACUGGGAUAGCCUUUCGAAAGAAAGAUUAAUACCGGAUGGCAUAGUUUUCCCGCAUGGGAUAAUUAUUAAAGAAUUUCGGUUGUCGAUGGGGAUGCGUUCCAUUAGGCAGUUGGCGGGGUAACGGCCCACCAAACCGACGAUGGAUAGGGGUUCUGAGAGGAAGGUCCCCCACAUUGGAACUGAGACACGGUCCAAACUCCUACGGGAGGCAGCAGUGAGGAAUAUUGGUCAAUGGACGAGAGUCUGAACCAGCCAAGUAGCGUGAAGGAUGACUGCCCUAUGGGUUGUAAACUUCUUUUAUACGGGAAUAAAGUUAGCCACGUGUGGCUUUUUGUAUGUACCGUAUGAAUAAGGAUCGGCUAACUCCGUGCCAGCAGCCGCGGUAAUACGGAGGAUCCGAGCGUUAUCCGGAUUUAUUGGGUUUAAAGGGAGCGUAGGCGGGUUGUUAAGUCAGUUGUGAAAGUUUGCGGCUCAACCGUAAAAUUGCAGUUGAUACUGGCGACCUUGAGUGCAACAGAGGUAGGCGGAAUUCGUGGUGUAGCGGUGAAAUGCUUAGAUAUCACGAAGAACUCCGAUUGCGAAGGCAGCUUACUGGAUUGUAACUGACGCUGAUGCUCGAAAGUGUGGGUAUCAAACAGGAUUAGAUACCCUGGUAGUCCACACAGUAAACGAUGAAUACUCGCUGUUGGCGAUAUACUGUCAGCGGCCAAGCGAAAGCAUUAAGUAUUCCACCUGGGGAGUACGCCGGCAACGGUGAAACUCAAAGGAAUUGACGGGGGCCCGCACAAGCGGAGGAACAUGUGGUUUAAUUCGAUGAUACGCGAGGAACCUUACCCGGGCUUAAAUUGCAACUGACGGAACCGGAAACGGUUCUUUCUUCGGACAGUUGUGAAGGUGCUGCAUGGUUGUCGUCAGCUCGUGCCGUGAGGUGUCGGCUUAAGUGCCAUAACGAGCGCAACCCUUAUCGAUAGUUACUAGCAGGUCAUGCUGAGGACUCUAUUGAGACUGCCGUCGUAAGAUGUGAGGAAGGUGGGGAUGACGUCAAAUCAGCACGGCCCUUACGUCCGGGGCUACACACGUGUUACAAUGGGGGGUACAGAAGGCAGCUACACGGCGACGUGGUGCUAAUCCCGAAAGCCUCUCUCAGUUCGGAUUGGAGUCUGCAACCCGACUCCAUGAAGCUGGAUUCGCUAGUAAUCGCGCAUCAGCCACGGCGCGGUGAAUACGUUCCCGG
RNAcentral lists this ribosomal RNA (1317 nucleotides) under uncultured bacterium. Its description in RNAcentral is "bacterial SSU rRNA". It matches the Rfam family "Bacterial small subunit ribosomal RNA", at positions 64 to 1377 of the family's 1533-position model. The record is from RNAcentral.